RNAcentral lists this ribosomal RNA (467 nucleotides) under uncultured Sphingobacteriales bacterium. Its description in RNAcentral is "bacterial SSU rRNA". It matches the Rfam family "Bacterial small subunit ribosomal RNA", at positions 911 to 1382 of the family's 1533-position model. The record is from RNAcentral. Lineage: Bacteria; Pseudomonadati; Bacteroidota; Sphingobacteriia; Sphingobacteriales.
UGACGGGGCCCGCACAAGCGGAGGAACAUGUGGUUUAAUUCGAUGAUACGCGAGGAACCUUACCUGGGCUUAAAUGGGAGUGACAGCUGUCGAAAGAUGGUUUUCUUCGGACACUCUUCAAGGUGCUGCAUGGUUGUCGUCAGCUCGUGCCGUGAGGUGUCGGGUUAAGUCCCAUAACGAGCGCAACCCUUACCGUUAGUUACCAUCAGGUUAAGCUGGGGACUCUAGCGGGACUGCCACCGUAAGGUGAGAGGAAGGUGGGGAUGACGUCAAAUCAGCACGGCCCUUAUGUCCAGGGCUACACACGUGUUACAAUGGCCAGUACAAAGGGCAGCUACCGGGUGACCGGAUGCUAACCUCUAAAGCUGGUCUCAGUUCGGGUCGAAGUCUGCAACCCGACUUCGUGAAGCUGGAUUCGCUAGUAAUCGCGCAUCAGCCAUGGCGCGGUGAAUACGUUCCCGGGCCUU